CCUCAGACUGUUUGGAGACAAAAUUGGCCGAUGACGAUGAGGAGACAUUAGCCGAUUGUGACAGCCCCACAGCAAUUAAUUUCCCGUUAUGAGUAGGGGAAAAUUUAACAGCAUUAAAUCGGUCAAAGCAAUUCAAUGCCCCAUGCCCUUUUUUAUUACAGAUUUGGCAUGGGUUAUUUCUCACGCCCAUAUUUCCAGAAUUUCUAGAUCUUUCAUAUCCGCGAUCUCCAGAUUUCGCGAUGUGGGCAGGAGCGCCCGAUUUCGCAUCCGCGACGUUGGCAAAGAGGGGGGAUAGCACCGAUUGAUUUUCCUCCGACUGGCGCAACUCCAAGUCUGUGAGCACGCCUGAAGGUCGACGAAGGUCAUAUUGGCGUCGAAUCGGGUGAUGAUCGAGUGGACAAACGCCGAGUGCUCUGGCCCCAAUCCUCCGACCGCUGUGAUGAUCUUGUCGGCUUCGGUGACUUUCUUUCCCACCAUCUGCAACUCGUCUAUCAUUGAUUUCACAUAUGCGAUGUAGGAAGCCAUCGAUAUUCCCCCUUUCUUUACUGUCAAGAAUUGACGUCGGAGAAAUAGGAUCCGCGUGACUGAUCCAGAUGAAUACAAGGUCGCCAAGGCUUUCCACACUUCAACGGAUGUGGUUAGACUCGCCACUUGCGACAGGAUAUUUGGCGACAGAGCUUGGAAUAACCAUCUCAAGAGCAACUGUUGUCGCCUACACAUCGGUGAGUUGUUUAACUCAACUUCACCUUCCACAUACUUCAAUAAAUCUGUGCCGAUUAAAACACAGCCACACAGGUGGCCUGAGCCUUCCACGAGACGUAAUUGUCUUUGUUGAGGGUGACGAAGGAUAACUUCUUCACAUGAAAAGCCGGUUCCCCACGAGUGACGGAUCCAUCAGAGUUUGUGAAAGCAUCGGUACCUGACGAUGAUACCAUGAUAGGAAAUGGGAGGAGAUGAAUUGUAUAAGACGAUGGAAGAAUAAGAAGAAUGAAAUGUGUAAUGGAACCGUGGUCCCAACUUCAUUUAUAAUACUCAAAAGUAAAUGUUAACAACCCACUACUUUCCUAACUAAUUCUGUUUUGUACAAUAUUCUCUAAUUCAUACUAACAGUGUUGAAUGUUUCUUGGAUCUUGAGAUUAACAAACAAACAAAAG
This 1154-nucleotide long non-coding RNA is filed under the name Zostera marina. Its description in RNAcentral is "long non-coding RNA (ZMAR_LNC006116)". The record is from RNAcentral. Lineage: Eukaryota; Viridiplantae; Streptophyta; Magnoliopsida; Alismatales; Zosteraceae.